CCUACGGGAGACAGCAGUGAGGAAUAUUGGUCAAUGGACGAGAGUCUGAACCAGCCAAGUAGCGUGAAGGAUGACUGCCCUAUGGGUUGUAAACUUCUUUUAUAUGGGAAUAAAAUGUUCCACGUGUGGGAUUUUGUAUGUACCAUAUGAAUAAGGAUCGGCUAACUCCGUGCCAGCAGCCGCGGUAAUACGGAGGGUCCGAGCGUUAUCCGGCUUUAUUGGGUUUAAAGGGAGCGUAGGUGGAUUGUUAAGUCAGUUGUGAAAGUUUGCGGCUCAACCGUAAAAUUGCAGUUGAAACUGGCAGUCGUGAGUACAGUAGAGGUGGGCGGAAUGCGUGGUGUAGCGGUGAAAUGCUUAGAUAUCACGAAGAACUCCGAUUGCGAAGGCAGCUCACUGGACUGCAACUGACACUGAGGCUCGAAAGUGUGGGUAUCAAACAGGAUUAGAUACCCCAGUAGUC
Molecule: ribosomal RNA, 460 nt
Filed under: uncultured bacterium
Lineage: Bacteria
Description: partial 16S ribosomal RNA
Rfam family: Bacterial small subunit ribosomal RNA
Source: RNAcentral